AGAGUUUGAUCAUGGCUCAGAAUCAACGCUGGCGGCGUGCCUAACACAUGCAAGUCGCACGAGAAAGGGGAGCAAUCCCUGAGUAAAGUGGCGCACGGGUGAGUAACACGUGACUAACCUACCCUCGAGUGGGGAAUAACCUAGAGAAAUCUGGGCUAAUACCGCAUAACACUUACGAGUCAAAGCAGCAAUGCGCUUGGGGAGGGGGUCGCGGCCGAUUAGCUAGUUGGCGGGGUAAUGGCCCACCAAGGCGAUGAUCGGUAUCCGGCCUGAGAGGGCGCACGGACACACUGGAACUGAAACACGGUCCAGACUCCUACGGGAGGCAGCAGUGGGGAAUUUUGCGCAAUGGGGGAAACCCUGACGCAGCAACGCCGCGUGGAGGAUGAAAUAUCUUGGUAUGUAAACUCCUUUCGAUGGGGAAGAUUAUGACGGUACCCAUAGAAGAAGCCCCGGCUAACUUCGUGCCAGCAGCCGCGGUAAUACGAGGGGGGCAAGCGUUGUUCGGAUUUAUUGGGCGUAAAGGGUGCGUAGGCGGUUUGGCAAGUCUGAUGUGAAAUCUAUGGGCUCAACCCAUAGUCUGCAUCAGAAACUGCCGGGCUAGAGUAUGGGAGAGGUGAGUGGAAUUUCCGGUGUAGCGGUGAAAUGCGUAGAUAUCGGAAGGAACACCUGUGGCGAAAGCGGCUCACUGGACCAUUACUGACGCUGAUGUACGAAAGCUAGGGGAGCAAACAGGAUUAGAUACCCUAGUAGUCC
RNAcentral lists this ribosomal RNA (756 nucleotides) under uncultured bacterium. RNAcentral describes it as "bacterial SSU rRNA". It matches the Rfam family "Bacterial small subunit ribosomal RNA", at positions 8 to 796 of the family's 1533-position model. The record is from RNAcentral.